UACGUAGGGUGCGAGCGUUGUCCGGAUUUAUUGGGCGUAAAGGGCUCGUAGGCGGCGUGUCGCGUCGGGAGUGAAAGCCCGUUGCUUAACGGCGGGUUGGCUUUCGGUACGGGCAUGCUGGAGUGCGGCAGGGGAGACUGGAAUUCCUGGUGUAGCGGUGGAAUGCGCAGAUAUCAGGAGGAGCACCGGUGGCGAAGGCGGGUCUCUGGGCCGUUACUGACGCUGAGGAGCGAAAGCGUGGGGAGCGAACAGG
RNAcentral lists this ribosomal RNA (253 nucleotides) under uncultured bacterium. RNAcentral's name for it is "partial 16S ribosomal RNA". It matches the Rfam family "Bacterial small subunit ribosomal RNA", at positions 524 to 776 of the family's 1533-position model. The record is from RNAcentral.